Molecule: unclassified non-coding RNA, 142 nt
Filed under: uncultured Capnodiales
Lineage: Eukaryota; Fungi; Ascomycota; Dothideomycetes; Capnodiales
Description: sequence contains ITS2
Source: RNAcentral
ACACCCAUCAAGCCUGGCUUGGUAUUGGGCGACGGGACUUCCCCGCGCCCCGAUUUCGCCGGCUGGACGACCCCGAUCUCUCAAGCGUUGUACAAUCUCGCUAGCUAGACGGGCGGCCAUGCCGUUAAUUUUAAUCAAUUCA